RNAcentral lists this small nucleolar RNA (102 nucleotides) under Echinops telfairi (small Madagascar hedgehog). RNAcentral's name for it is "Small nucleolar RNA SNORA40 (ENSETEG00000026734.1)". It matches the Rfam family "Small nucleolar RNA SNORA40". From Rfam's summary of the family: The snoRNA ACA 40 belongs to the H/ACA family of snoRNAs and guides the pseudouridylation of 28S rRNA subunit at position U4565. NB This family has a high threshold value to exclude a large number of closely related sequences that do not appear to have conserved H and ACA boxes, and may be pseudogenes. Lineage: Eukaryota; Metazoa; Chordata; Mammalia; Afrosoricida; Tenrecidae. The record is from RNAcentral.
GAGUUGUAUGAAUUAGUGGACAAACCCUCAAGAAUAAAUCCUCUUUUGCAACCUAAAACUCAUUGUGCAGUAUGAGUUUUGUUACAGAUAAGAAGGGACAUG